This 187-nucleotide microRNA precursor is filed under the name Oryza meridionalis. RNAcentral's name for it is "MIR812 microRNA precursor family". It matches the Rfam family "MIR812 microRNA precursor family". The record is from Rfam by way of RNAcentral. Lineage: Eukaryota; Viridiplantae; Streptophyta; Magnoliopsida; Poales; Poaceae.
UUUAAGUGCAUUUUGUUUUCCACGUUGUUUAACCCUUCAUCUUAUUUAAUUUUUUUAUGAUUAAUAAUUUUAUUAUUGUAGAUGAUCAAACUAUUAUAUUCCUUUAUGCAUGACUUAUUUUUCAUAAAUUUUUCAAAUAAAAUGGAGGGUCAGACAUUAGACACAGAAACCCACAAUUGCACCUAAA